GGAGUUUGGACCGUGUCUCAGUUCCAAUGUGGGGGACCUUCCUCUCAGAACCCCUACUGAUCGAUGGCUAGGUGGGCCGUUACCCCGCCUACUACCUAAUCAGACGCAUCCCCAUCCAUUACCGGAAAUUACCUUUAGUCCUUGUCAGAUGCCAUCGAAGGAGAACAUAGAGCAUUAAUCCGACUUUCGCCGGGCUAUUCUCUACUGUGGGGAAGGGUUGGAUACGCGUUACUCACCCGUCGCGCCGGUCGCCGACAGAGUUAGCAAGCUAACUCCUCGCUGCCCCUCGACUUGCAUGUGUUAAGCCUGUAGCUAGCGUUCAUC
This 324-nucleotide ribosomal RNA is filed under the name uncultured Prevotella sp. RNAcentral's name for it is "partial 16S ribosomal RNA". The record is from RNAcentral. Lineage: Bacteria; Pseudomonadati; Bacteroidota; Bacteroidia; Bacteroidales; Prevotellaceae.